This is a non-coding RNA of Pelobates cultripes (western spadefoot toad), 465 nucleotides long. The record is from the annotation of a GenBank genome assembly. Lineage: Eukaryota; Metazoa; Chordata; Amphibia; Anura; Pelobatidae.
CUUGUCUGUCCCUUGUCCCAGUCUCCCAUUUGGUCCCCUAGGGGAGUGUCCGCCAGGUGGGAGACCUGCAUAAAAGCCGGGCAGGUAGCCCUCAUUAAACAGACCACUGCUUGACCCUCAACACGGAGCCUUGUCUCGUUCUUGGGGGGAUUUACUGAAUGCUGAUAGAGACUGAUUGCUAGGAGUGUAAGCCGCUUGGAUGCUUUUCCUAUUCGUCUGCUUACAGCAAUUCGUAUGGUUCCUGUUCGUGUAUUUGGAGUGCUAUAUUGGAUGCCGUUCGGGAGUUUGGAGUAUUCACUUAUUGGCGGUUCGUGUGUUUGGUGUUCUGCAGUAGCUGUGCCUGCAUCUCCGGAAAGGGGGCCGAUCGCCUACACGUUUUUUUCCCCUUUUGUGCAAAACGGUCCGUUACAGUCGUCUUUCAGCCUUUCUUACCUUGGCCAUGUCUCUGAGUAUUGCACACCUUGU